This is a long non-coding RNA of Gallus gallus (chicken), 2840 nucleotides long. The record is from Ensembl. NCBI's taxonomy places the organism in Eukaryota, Metazoa, Chordata, Aves, Galliformes, Phasianidae.
GCAGGCUCUGCUCUUGGCUGUUCACCACACAGCUCCAAAACAAACAACACACAACCAGCCACAAGACAUUCCCUCCACCAGCCUCAAAACACACACACACCAAAGGCCACCAGAAGACAAAAGAGACCACCACACCAGCCUGCCACUGUACUGCCAACAACCAAAUAAAGCCAGACAGCUCCCAAGAAAAACCACCACCAAACCCAACAACCAGCACACCACAAAGCCAACUCCACCUUCCACACCAAAACCACCCAAGCCACUUUCUACCACCAGCCUCCUAACCAAAAAAAAACAGACAAGCCCCACCACAAGACCGCCAGCAAACAAGCCUGCCACAUCACCAACACAAACCUCUGACGCACCAAAGCCAGCCGGCCACCUAAGCAAACACAAACAGAGCCAAGACAGCACAACACCCCAGGCCUACCUGCUGGCUCUGCUCCUCCUCAUCGCAGCUCCCAGGAUCUCCAUCUUCCAUGCAGGAAAACAGCCACGCCAGGACCCUUAACUCCACUCCUCCGGGACAGGACCUGCCACGCACCUUCCACCCUGUCACAAAAGCACAUCAUCACCCACACAGCCACUGCCUCCGGCCCCGGGGCACCACCCACCUCACAGGUAACAUGCAGCUCACCUUGCUCCACAGGGGCGCCCCGCUCACACCGCCAGGAUCCUGCCUCCAGCCUGAACCUGCGCAGAGACCUCCACAAACCACCUCCAAGGGGGCGCUCCUGGGGGCAGCCCUCCACCACGAGGGCUCCCGCCUGGGGCUCCCCCUCUCUCACCUCCUUCAUCCCACCCCUGGGAAAACUGCACACCUGCUCCAGCCAAUCCUCUCUGCAGCCUUCACCCUGCAACAAGAGCACAGAUCACACAGCCAGACAGAAUGCCAAGGCCCCACUGCAAAGCGCCCGCACGCAACUGCAACGGGGCCCGGGGAACCGGACUCCGCAACCUCCCCGGGCACUCCUCUCCCAUCCCGCUCACAAGGAAAUCAUUCUUCUUCCUCUUGAAUGAGAAAUUCUGGUGAUACCAAACAUGCACACUGCCCCCCUACUGCCACACGCCACUCAUCCCCGUCAACUGGGCUCCUGCGCAGCAGGCAUUGCUAUCUGCCACCCUCCUCUCCUCUCACUGCACAAUCAAGACAACGCACAAAGCUACCUUUUGGUCCGGCAUGACUUCUCCUCUGUCCAUCCACCUGGACUGCUCCUUGCAAAUUCCUUCUCCUCCAGUCACAUGGCAAUGACACCUGCAACAAGCUGUUGCGUCACCUCCCCAGGAACAGAGGUGAGGUGAGGCCAACCUACCUCCAAGUUGCACACGCCAUCCUCCACACCCUUUCUGAAGGCUGCGGUGGCAUCCGCCAUCCUCCAGUCUUCAGGUACCUUUCCCACAGGAAACAGCAGGGAAAAGUGACAGAGAGCGCCAUUUGCCGGUCACCGCUGCCAGCUCUCAGCGGGCACAGGCAUAGCCCUCUACAGCUCAGGCAUUUGCUGGCCUCCUUUCUGCCUGAACCACUUUUGACCAGCUCCUCCGCAACUGAGGGGAAGACAACCUUCCUCUGAGACUCUCUCCUCCAGGACCCCAGGUUCCCCAGGAGCACUCUCAGCAGAAACCACUGAAACCAAAACAGGCAUACAACACUUCCUCCAUUACUCAGGCCUCCACCUUGUAAAGCACAGGCCUGCAAUUUCUCCAGUCUCUCCUGUUGACAAACUUCCAUUAGCCUUGACCUCCCUCCCAAAGCUGAUACUCAGAGGGACUUGGCCUUCCUCAGCCUCUCUCUUCCUUCUCCCCUUCAAGUUCCUCAGUCAGCCCUGCAGGUCCCCCACCAUUCCUGCGCAGUUCCUUCCUCCUUGGGACGCAGCGCACCUCAGCAUGGACAAAGUAAUGCUCCAGCAUUCACGGGACCCCUUCCUAUGCUUGAUCAAGGGUUACCUCCAAGUAGGCCCUUCAAGAGGACAAACUUGGCUCCCUCUAAGUCCAGUGUUUCAAUCCUACUCAUUGCUUUGCAGCUUCCACACAAGAUCCCAAACGCUGUGGUCUCACAACUGGCACGCUCCAGGCUGCCCCUGGCCUUCCUGUCCCCAAAUGGCUCUUCCGCAAUAGGGAGCUCCAGCAGCCCCUCUCCUCAAUGCCUCCUUCAUCACCUGUGUCAGAAGAUCUUACCUUUGACACAUUGCAGGAAACUCCUGGAGCCUACCAUGAGAACUGGCCUCACAGCUGUGGGCACCAUUUCCAGCUGUGUGCAGAAGGUCUAUCAGCUUCCUCACCCUAGUCUGUGACCAACACCACCACUCAGGUCACCCACUUUUACCUGCCUCUUCAGCCUCACGCACAAACGCUCCGCUGGUUCUUCAUUCACCCCUAGGUGGAGCUCGAUACGUUCCCGUUCUCUCCCUCGAAGAGAGAGAGACUCCACCGUCCUGGCCGGUCUGUCUUUCCUAAAGGAACAGAGCCAUCCACGACAGCACUCCAGUCGUGCGAGCUGCCCUGCCAGGUCUCCACGGUGGGAACCUAAAUCGUGCUCCUGCAGUUACACGGGAAGGAAGAGGCGGGGAAAAAAAAAAAAAAAACACGGUCCCAACCUGCUCGCUCCCACCGCGGGAAACGGGAUGGGUGAGAGCACCCGCAAAACACUCCGCAGUGGCCGAGGCCACCCCGGGAUCGUGCUCGGUCUCGGGCGGAGGCCCGUGCCGGUCCUACUAAAAAAGCCACGCGGGAGCCCAGCGGCGGCGCCGUGCCGAUCCCAAAGACAGAGGCAGUCAAGCAGCAACCCUACAGGAGCCGUAGCACGAGAGAUCUUACCGAGCGAGACUCUCAAACACUCACCG